Corticium candelabrum is the source of this 1891-nucleotide long non-coding RNA. RefSeq lists it as uncharacterized. The record is from RefSeq and is a predicted model, not a curated record. Lineage: Eukaryota; Metazoa; Porifera; Homoscleromorpha; Homosclerophorida; Plakinidae. The transcript has 4 exons.
CGCUGGGUCACUUCCGGAUAUGACGGAUAUUCCAGCAACGUGAACGCUAGGCGAGCAUUGUGCAAGCUUCGUGGACGGGCUGUCAUGUUCACAGUGUGACGCAGACGCUCGCUCAUCGUCAGCAUCCAGGACGCUCGCAGGACGCUCGUGCUAGCAUUGUACUGUGAUAGAGGGUCAGAUGGAAAGUCAGAUGAAGGGUGAGAAGAAGGGCCAGAUGGAGGGCCAGAUGGAGGGCCAGAUGGAGGGCCAGAUGGAGGGCUAGAUGGAGGGUCAGAUGGAGGGCCAUGCAGAUGGAAAGUCAGAUGAAGGGUCAGAUGGAGAGUCAGAUGGAGGGUCUGACAGUUGGUCACAUGCAUGAAGCAUCAACGACAGAUUCAAUUUAGAGUGUCGGCUGUAAGGUCAGGUAAACAGAGUUGGGUGCUCUUGUCGUUGUGAAGAUAAAGACCGCAGCGUCGGCUGACGAUUACAACUCGUUUAGCUAAACUCCUGCUGGAAUCGAAACGCACACUUGCUAGAAGGUAACCCUUUCACAAUUUACUUAAGUUAAUCGCGUGCAAGCAGACAGAAUUUGUCGUUUGUCUAUUUGAGCGUGUCGGGACAUAGAUAUAUUGUUAUUGUUGCACAUUUAUUGUGUUUAGCUAUAGUUGUUUGCAUAACUAAGCAGCCACGCCAAAAACAUUCUAAGUGCGAUCUGCAUUUUCGUGAUCAUGUUAACAUCGUCAAACUUCUUGCUAAACUACGCGUUCAUUAUCGCUCCACCUCAAUUCUCUUUGUUCAACAUUGUCGUGUCACUCAUACACCAACUUCCGCUGCUGUUAUCAGCCGCACGUGUUUCUGCAUUGAGGUCGUGUAGAGCAUCCUUUCGACUCGUUGCAACACUGUGAACAAGAAGGAAGACAACGGCACAAGCAGCAGCACAGAUCACCAUCAGGCAGACAAGGGUACGAAUUUCGACCGUCAGCACGAGUCUCCUCUAAUUACAAGUAGUCGAUGUCGGUGCCGUUGAACGACUCAGAUUCUUGUUGUUCAAAAGACUUCUUUGUUUGCGCGAUCGAAACGCCAGACACGGUACCCAACGACGACGAGAGCCAAAACGAAACAGACGACGACCUUCAUGUUUCUCCAACUCGAGCGCUUGCAAAAAUGUCUAAAACGAGUUGGCAACGUACGUAUACUAGUGAGGAAAGGCGGGUCUAAGCAUAGGCGCGAGAGAUAUGGUGUGUUAUCAUGUUAAAAUUACGUUGUUAGUGUCUCUAGAUAUACACUCAAUGAGGUCGGACGCACACUCAAUGAAGACAUGAGGAAGUCGCUCGUACACUCAAUGUGGUCGGUUGCACACUCAAUGCGGUCGUUCGGUUCCUUCUUAGAGUUCAUGAGGUCGGCCUUACCACUCAAUGUGGUCGGUGUUACACUCAAUAAGGUAUAUGGUUAACGGAAAAGACAAGGCGUGGGAGUCUAAAUAAGAUAGGUGCACUGUACAGUCAACACUCCUUUACCAGUUUUACGGAUGUGCUAAUCUAACAACUAUUCAGAUUCGAUCAUUUACAGGAGGUCAUCAUUGGGUGACUUCAAACCUGCUUUGGCAAACAAUAACGACUAUACGACAACAAUGCUUGCCUACACUUGUCUCCUUGUAUGGAAACACAGCUGGUGCAAUUCUAUCAAUUGCCUCACAAAGACAUGUAACAUUCGCAUGGUAGAACAAAUGUCAGUGCAACAGCAGAUGUAAUUUUGGAUUUCUUUGCACUGCACGUGUUUGUUGUCAAUGACACAUGGCAAGGUGGUAGUGUGUUACGUCUGUGAAACUUGCAAUCAUGACGGAUGUGUCACAUUAUCGGGUAGUGUACUGUAAGCCUUGGAUUUGCGCUGAACGUAGAUAAAUUUCUUCCUA